UCUAUCUGAGGGUGAACCAAGCCACCAAGAUUCUCUUUCAAGAAGGUGAAUUUAGAGACCAAAAAGCAAGCAAACAAACACAGGGUAUGAGGGACUUUUAGCUUAAAGGUCAUGUAGACUAAGACUAGGGGCCACCGUGGGGAAGCAGAGGAAACAGAGCUGAUAGAGGGAAGCAAACAUGAGAGAUAAGAGUGGCCAUGCAUUCCCUAAGAAACGGACCAAGUGGUUUCAAUUCCUAGUGGUUUCUCCUCCUUUUAUUGAGGAGUGUGUGAUUAUUUUCCUUGUAACUACUGUGCUUUAAGACAUCCCUCCAAUUUAUAAACGGGAAGGAUAGUAAUUGCCUCGUGUUUCAGAAUAUUUAGCUAUAGAAUGAUUAGAAUCAAAAUUAUCUUAGACACCAAAGAGUACAGAAAAUCAAAGAUAAUCUCAGGCAAUGAGACAUAAAUCCCAUUUGCUAAUUCUGCCAUUUGGAGAUAAUGAUGAUGGUGCUGAUUUAAGAUAUGUUUAGCAUGUACUAAGUACCAAGCACUGUUUUAAGCAUUUGUAUAUAUUGCCUUAUUUAAUCCUCACAAAAACCCAGAGGUGUAUGCAGAAAUAUUAGUCCCAUUUUACACACAAGAGAACUAAGGUAUAGAGAGAAUAAGUCAUGGAGCCAAGAUUCAAAUUCCCUAAUUCAACAUCAAAGCCUAAAUUCUUGAAAGUGCAAGUCUCUUCACAAACUUCAGGAAUUAAGCUGCCUACAAGAAAUCUAAGUUUUAGGGUGGUUCAAAACCUUACAUAUCCCUCUGGAUCAAAUUUUUUUCUUUUUUUCCAUGUUCUACUCAAAUCUCAGAGUUACCAUUUAGCUCUGGUAUCUCCAUUAAAGGUGGUUUCUAUCUGGAACAAGAUAUAAUGCUUUACAUGGGCAGCUUCUAUACAGCAAUAGUAAGAAUGACCAUUUACUGAGCAAUUGCAAGGCAUCAGGAUUAUGGUUUAUGAGCACGUGAUGUUUCUUAUCUCACAACUCUGUGAGGUAGAUACUCUCCACAACCCAGGGAGGCAAAAGUGGAGGCCACUUCCACUGUAACUGUAUAUUAUUACAUAAUAAAAUGCUUAGAAUACAUGCAAAGUAAUUACACAAUACUUACACAAUAAAAAUACAGCUCUAGAUAUAUAAUAAAUUUAAAAAUAUUUGUUUCAUGAAAACAUGAAGGUAGUAAUUAGCAAUUAUCUCUCUGCCCUGGAGAAGCGUGUGGAAAAGGAGCAGCUGUCCUCGCUUUUUUCAGAACUUCUGUCAGAGAUGCUUUCAAUUACACAGUUGUGUUUUUGGCCCCCAGAAUGAUUCAUUCUCAGAAUUGUUCUUUAGUCCUUAAUAUCUCCAUUAAGAAGAGCUUCCAUCAAGUGCUUCCGAGGCGUGCGAUGCCCUGCUGGUGGGCGAAGUGCAGAGGACACGGGGUCCUUUGGCAUCCACUGGACGCUGCACUGUCUGGCCUGAGUCAGCGAGGGCAGAAAUACGGGCUGAAAUGCAAGCAGGCUGAACUCCUGGGCUCAAGCAAUCCUCCUGCAUCGGCUGCUCAAGUAACCGGGACUACGACUACGGAUGCACACCACCACGCCCUGCGACAGUUAUUUGAUUCUUAAUAGUCCAGUCAUAAUGAGACAGGAUACUGCAUAAGUCAAAGACCACACAAAGUAUCAAUCUCCCAGAUUUAUUUCGAUGGUUUUGCAACAUGGGAAGCCAUUCAAGCUCUUUGCCCUUGGUUUUCCUGACUGGAAGUGGGAUGAUACAGGAAGAAGGCCCUCACCAGGUUUGGUCCAUUGAUCUUGGACUUCUCUAAGAAGGGUCUCAGAUUUGUGGCCCUUUGCAAUGGACACGGCAUUUCCAGCUUGCAGCCAGGCACGGCCAAUAGCAUUACCUGGUGCACCAUAUGCAAAGAAACGUGUGGGUUGGACAAAUAAAUGAAGCACGCAUCAUUGAAUGGAGCACAUAAAUGAAGAUGAGACUGUAGGAAACUCUGGAAACCAAGACGAGAGAGUGCCUGUGUACUCUGACUCUGUCAUACCUCUUACUCAAGAUGCACCAAAAGUGGAAGAACUUCAGAAAAGCAGCCAUCGUUAUGUCCCAAGUUCUGGAUCUUCUUCUCUCUUACCCUUCCCAAUUUUUCUUACCUCACUGCAUUUACCUAGAAUAUAAAUCCUGCCUUCUGCUCCCAGGACUUGCCUCAAAGACUUCACAACGGAUUUGUUCCAUUCAGUUGUGGGCCUCAGUGUUCCUUCUUACGCAGAGUUUAUUCUGUUUCUCCCUGCUAUUCCAAGUGACUAUACCCUGAAUCAGACUUGGACCCCUGGACCAUGCUUCAGUGUUCCACAUUGCUUUGCAGGGGUCACGCCUAAAUGUAGGGAGAGAUACAUUAGGCAGUGCCGAAAUGAAUAUUAAUCUAAUUUCAAGAAAGAAAGAGAGGGAGGGAGGGAGGAGGAAGGA
This is a long non-coding RNA of Lemur catta (Ring-tailed lemur), 2461 nucleotides long. RefSeq lists it as uncharacterized. The record is from RefSeq and is a predicted model, not a curated record. The transcript is spliced from 5 exons. Lineage: Eukaryota; Metazoa; Chordata; Mammalia; Primates; Lemuridae.